AGUGAACGCUGGCGGUAGGCCUAACACAUGCAAGUCGAACGGCAGCACAGUAAGAGCUUGCUCUUACGGGUGGCGAGUGGCGGACGGGUGAGGAAUACAUCGGAAUCUACUUUUUCGGGGGGGAUAACGUGGGGAAACUUACGCUAAUACCGCAUACGACCUACGGGUGAAAGCAGGGGAUCUUCGGACCUUGCGCGAUUGAAUGAGCCGAUGUCGGAUUAGCUAGUUGGCGGGGUAAAGGCCCACCAAGGCGACGAUCCGUAGCUGGUCUGAGAGGAUGAUCAGCCACACUGGAACUGAGACACGGUCCAGACUCCUACGGGAGGCAGCAGUGGGGAAUAUUGGACAAUGGGCGCAAGCCUGAUCCAGCCAUACCGCGUGGGUGAAGAAGGCCUUCGGGUUGUAAAGCCCUUUUGUUGGGAAAGAAAAGCAGCAGGUUAAUACCCCGCUGUUCUGACGGUACCCAAAGAAUAAGCACCGGCUAACUUCGUG
Molecule: ribosomal RNA, 492 nt
Filed under: uncultured bacterium
Lineage: Bacteria
Description: partial 16S ribosomal RNA
Rfam family: Bacterial small subunit ribosomal RNA
Source: RNAcentral